AAUCCAUGGUGUGGGCACCUCCGCAAAAGAUCCUUGAAGUGCUCCCAUGUCUCAAACAAUGAUUCCAACUCCAUCUAUACAAACGAUGAAAUCUCAUUAUGAAGCU
Small nucleolar RNA from Dioscorea cayenensis subsp. rotundata (Guinea yam), 106 nucleotides. NCBI's taxonomy places the organism in Eukaryota, Viridiplantae, Streptophyta, Magnoliopsida, Dioscoreales, Dioscoreaceae. The record is from RefSeq and is a predicted model, not a curated record.